RNAcentral lists this ribosomal RNA (457 nucleotides) under uncultured bacterium. RNAcentral describes it as "bacterial SSU rRNA". It matches the Rfam family "Bacterial small subunit ribosomal RNA", at positions 8 to 465 of the family's 1533-position model. The record is from RNAcentral.
AGAGUUUGAUCCUGGCUCAGGACGAACGCUGGCGGCGCACUUAAUGCAUGCAAGUCGAACGGUGAAACUCCUUCGGGGGUGGAACAGUGGCGAACGGCUGAGUAACGCGUAAGUAACCUACCCCCGAGUGGGGAAUAACUCCGGGAAACCGGAGCUAAUACCGCAUAAUCCGUUGUGUCGCAUGUCAUAACGGCAAAGGUCUCGGCCGCUUGGGGAUGGGCUUGCGUUCUAUCAGGUAGUUGGUGAGGUAAGAGCUCACCAAGCCAAUGACGGAUAGCUGGUCUGAGAGGACGACCAGCCAGAGGGGGACUGCGACACGGCCCCCACUCCUACGGGAGGCAGCAGCAGGGAAUCUUGCGCAAUGGGCGAAAGCCUGACGCAGCGACGCCGCGUGCGGGAAGAAGGCCUUCGGGUUGUAAACCGCUUUUCUGAGGGAAGAGAAAGGACGUACNUCAGA